Gossypium arboreum is the source of this 128-nucleotide non-coding RNA. NCBI's taxonomy places the organism in Eukaryota, Viridiplantae, Streptophyta, Magnoliopsida, Malvales, Malvaceae. The record is from Rfam.
UGUUAAAAAUUUCAUCCAUUUUUAUUGAUAAAAACUGGUGAACUAAUAGAAUAACUAACGUUAUGUGUACCUCAUUUUAUCAUAUAGGGAACAAUUUUUAAUAGUAGAAAUAGAUGAAUUUUUUAACG